RNAcentral lists this ribosomal RNA (895 nucleotides) under uncultured bacterium. Its description in RNAcentral is "bacterial SSU rRNA". It matches the Rfam family "Bacterial small subunit ribosomal RNA", at positions 8 to 916 of the family's 1533-position model. The record is from RNAcentral.
AGAGUUUGAUCCUGGCUCAGGACGAACGCUGGCGGCGUGCUUAACACAUGCAAGUCGAGCGGUAAGGCCCUUUCGGGGGUACACGAGCGGCGAACGGGUGAGUAACACGUGGGUGACCUGCCCUCAGCUCUGGGAUAAGCCUGGGAAACCGGGUCUAAUACCGGAUAUGACUCCAUGACGCAUGUUGUGGGGUGGAAAGCCUUGUGCGGCUGGGGAUGGGCCCGCGGCCUAUCAGCUUGUUGGUGGGGUGAUGGCCUACCAAGGCGACGACGGGUAGCCGGCCUGAGAGGGCGACCGGCCACACUGGGACUGAGACACGGCCCAGACUCCUACGGGAGGCAGCAGUGGGGAAUCUUGCGCAAUGGGCGAAAGCCUGACGCAGCGACGCCGCGUGAGGGAUGACGGCCUUCGGGUUGUAAACCUCUUUCAGCUCCGACGAAGCGAAAGUGACGGUAGGAGUAGAAGAAGCACCGGCCAACUACGUGCCAGCAGCCGCGGUAAUACGUAGGGUGCAAGCGUUGUCCGGAAUUAUUGGGCGUAAAGAGCUCGUAGGCGGUCUGUCGCGUCGGCUGUGAAAACUUGGGGCUCAACUCCGAGCUUGCAGUCGAUACGGGCAGGCUAGAGUUCGGCAGGGGAGACUGGAAUUCCUGGUGUAGCGGUGAAAUGCGCAGAUAUCAGGAGGAACACCGGUGGCGAAGGCGGGUCUCUGGGCAUGACCUGACGCUGAGGAGCGAAAGCAUGGGGAGCGAACAGGAUUAGAUACCCUGGUAGUCCAUGCCGUAAACGUUGGGCGCUAGGUGUGGGGACCUUCCAAGGUCUCCGUGCCGCAGCUAACGCAUUAAGCGCCCCGCCUGGGGAGUACGGCCGCAAGGCUAAAACUCAAAGGAAUUGACGG